Molecule: ribosomal RNA, 1372 nt
Filed under: Koseiria argalea
Lineage: Eukaryota; Metazoa; Platyhelminthes; Trematoda; Plagiorchiida; Enenteridae
Description: partial large subunit ribosomal RNA
Rfam family: Eukaryotic large subunit ribosomal RNA
Source: RNAcentral
CGCUGAAUUUAAGCAUAUCACUAAGCGGAGGAAAAGAAACUAACAAGGAUUCCCUUAGUAACGGCGAGUGAACAGGGAUUAGCCCAGCACCGAAGCCUGUGGCCAUUUGGCUACUAGGCAAUGUGGUGUUCAGGUCAUUCCGCGGAGAUGCUGCUCCACUCCAAGUCCAUUCAUGAGUACGGUAUUUCAGACUUGGCCCAUAGAGGGUGAAAGGCCCGUGGGAGUGGGGUUUCAGGCAUGUCAGUGUCUCUCUGGAUAGACCUUGGAGUCGGGUUGUUUGUGAAUGCAGCCCAAAGCGGGUGGUAAACUCCAUCCAAGGCUAAAUACAUACACGAGUCCGAUAGCGAACAAGUACCGUGAGGGAAAGUUGAAAAGUACUUUGAAGAGAGAGUAAACAGUGCGUGAAACCGCUCAGAGGUAAACGGGUGGAGUUGAACUGCGAACUCAGAGAAUUCAGCUGGUGAGAAUGGUUUGAGCUUGGUCAAACAGGUUGGUGUCUUGGGGUCUGCCGAGAUGCAGGUCUCUGCCUUCGGGUGGGGAUGCGCGAUGCACUUAUCAAGUGUUGUGCGCCUCAGUGGCAUGUCGAGCCUACUUGCCGGUGCAUUUUCUCUGGGUGUUCACCACGACCGGCACUGCUGUCUGGCUGUUAUGGUUAAACCGUCUUUGCUUUGUCCUUGUGGCUUUGCUUGGUCGGGAUGGCAGGUAGCCUGUUAGCCUUGUCUUCGGACUUGGUUUUCGGGUGUAAUCAGCUGACUGUAAUGGUUCUGUGCAGUGUGUCGGAGACGGCGGCUUGUGGUGUGGGCAUGCGUGCUUGUCUGCUGACUUGGUUGGGUUUGGUUGUCAUGUUGCUUGUUCUGCAAGCCUGGCGAUGGCCUGACUAUGCUUGGUGGGCGGUGGCGUGUGUGACACUGUUUCCAGGGCCUAUAGUCUGUGGUGUUGUGGUAGACUUUCCACCUGACCCGUCUUGAAACACGGACCAAGGAGAGUAACAUGUGUGCGAGUCAUUGGGCGUAACGAAACCCACAGGCGCAGUGAAAGUAAAGGUUUGGCUCAGCCAGACUAAGGUGAGAUCCUGUUGUAUCCUACGCGCGGUUCUACCAAGCACUCGAGCAGCAGGCGCAUCACCGGCCCGUCCCAUGUUGUAGACGCAUAGCUUCGUGCCAGCGCACCAACGGGGCGGAGCAUGAGCAUACAUGUUGAGACCCGAAAGAUGGUGAACUAUGCUUGCGCAGGUUGAAGCCAGAGGAAACUCUGGUGGAGGACCGUAGCGAUUCUGACGUGCAAAUCGAUCGUCAAACGUGAGUAUAGGGGCGAAAGACUAAUCGAACCAUCUAGUAGCUGGUUCCCUCCGAAGUUUCCCUCCAGGAUAGCA